RNAcentral lists this ribosomal RNA (502 nucleotides) under uncultured bacterium. RNAcentral describes it as "bacterial SSU rRNA". It matches the Rfam family "Bacterial small subunit ribosomal RNA", at positions 8 to 507 of the family's 1533-position model. The record is from RNAcentral.
AGAGUUUGAUCAUGGCUCAGAUUGAACGCUGGCGGCAUGCCUUACACAUGCAAGUCGAACGGUAACAGGUCUUCGGAUGCUGACGAGUGGCGAACGGGUGAGUAAUACAUCGGAACGUGCCCAGACGUGGGGGAUAACGAGGCGAAAGCUUUGCUAAUACCGCAUACGAUCUAAGGAUGAAAGCAGGGGACCGCAAGGCCUUGCGCGUUUGGAGCGGCUGAUGGCAGAUUAGGUAGUUGGUGGGAUAAAAGCUUACCAAGCCGACGAUCUGUAGCAGGUCUGAGAGGACGACCAGCCACACUGGGACUGAGACACGGCCCAGACUCCUACGGGAGGCAGCAGUGGGGAAUUUUGGACAAUGGGCGAAAGCCUGAUCCAGCAAUGCCGCGUGCAGGAUGAAGGCCUUCGGGUUGUAAACUGCUUUUGUACGGAACGAAAAGGCUCUGGCUAAUACCUGGGGCACAUGACGGUACCGUAAGAAUAAGCACCGGCUAACUACGUG